This 466-nucleotide ribosomal RNA is filed under the name uncultured bacterium. RNAcentral's name for it is "partial 16S ribosomal RNA". It matches the Rfam family "Bacterial small subunit ribosomal RNA", at positions 28 to 507 of the family's 1533-position model. The record is from RNAcentral.
GACGAACGCUGGCGGCGUGCUUAACACAUGCAAGUCGAACGGAAAGGCCCUGCUUUUGUGGGGUGCUCGAGUGGCGAACGGGUGAGUAACACGUGAGUAACCUGCCCUUGACUUUGGGAUAACUUCAGGAAACUGGGGCUAAUACCGGAUAGGAGCUCCUGCUGCAUGGUGGGGGUUGGAAAGUUUCGGCGGUUGGGGAUGGACUCGCGGCUUAUCAGCUUGUUGGUGGGGUAGUGGCUUACCAAGGCUUUGACGGGUAGCCGGCCUGAGAGGGUGACCGGCCACAUUGGGACUGAGAUACGGCCCAGACUCCUACGGGAGGCAGCAGUGGGGAAUAUUGCACAAUGGGCGGAAGCCUGAUGCAGCAACGCCGCGUGCGGGAUGACGGCCUUCGGGGUGUAAACCGCUUUCGCCUGACGAAGCGUGAGUGACGGUAAUGGGUAAAGAAGCACCGGCUAACUACGUG